RNAcentral lists this long non-coding RNA (226 nucleotides) under Brassica napus (rape). RNAcentral's name for it is "long non-coding RNA (BNAP_LNC001584)". The record is from RNAcentral. Lineage: Eukaryota; Viridiplantae; Streptophyta; Magnoliopsida; Brassicales; Brassicaceae.
GCGCUUUUGUUCUUGUGCUGGACGUUUUUAAAGAUCAAAAGAGUGAUCGGAUUGCGUUUGUUUAAGACGGCUGGCGUGUUCGUCGGGGCCAAUCGACGAACGGGGUGUAAGGUUUUUAGUGGUCGCGUUCGGACAAUUUGUUUAGCAUUGUCCUCGAAUUUUAACUUUUUGCGACGUCUCGCAGUUAUUUUCGAGGAUUAUGCGUGUUUGAAAGGUGAUAAUCUUU